GACGAACGCUGGUGGCGUGCCUAAUACAUGCAAGUCGAACGAAGUUGUUUUAACUGGUGCUUGCACCGACUUAAACAACUGAGUGGCGAACGGGUGAGUAACACGUGGGUAACCUGCCCCAAAGUGGGGGGAUAAACAUUUUGGAAAACAGAUGCUAAUACCGCAUAACCACAGAAACCUCAUGGUUUCUGUGUCAAAGAUGGUUUCGGCUAUCACUUUGGGAUGGAUCCGCGGCGUAUUAG
Molecule: ribosomal RNA, 242 nt
Filed under: uncultured bacterium
Lineage: Bacteria
Description: partial 16S ribosomal RNA
Rfam family: Bacterial small subunit ribosomal RNA
Source: RNAcentral